GUGCUGGUUUCAGCAGCACAUAUACUAAAAUUGGAAUGAUACAGAGAAGAUUAGCAUGGCCCCUGCAUGCAAGGAUGACCCGCAAAUUUAUGAAGUGUUCCAUAUUUCA
Molecule: small nuclear RNA, 109 nt
Filed under: Pseudonaja textilis
Lineage: Eukaryota; Metazoa; Chordata; Lepidosauria; Squamata; Elapidae
Source: RNAcentral